CGGAGAGAUGCCAGAGCGGUUGAAUGGAUCGGUCUCGAAAACCGACAUACGACUUAUCGUAUCGGGGGUUCGAAUCCUCUCUUCCCGACCA
RNAcentral lists this transfer RNA (91 nucleotides) under Holosporales bacterium. Its description in RNAcentral is "tRNA-Ser". It matches the Rfam family "tRNA". From Rfam's summary of the family: Transfer RNA (tRNA) molecules are approximately 80 nucleotides in length. Lineage: Bacteria; Pseudomonadati; Pseudomonadota; Alphaproteobacteria; Holosporales. The record is from RNAcentral.